RNAcentral lists this long non-coding RNA (204 nucleotides) under Elaeis guineensis (African oil palm). RNAcentral describes it as "long non-coding RNA (EGUI_LNC067580)". The record is from RNAcentral. Lineage: Eukaryota; Viridiplantae; Streptophyta; Magnoliopsida; Arecales; Arecaceae.
GUGGUGCUACAAGUACUUAUGAUUAAAUUUAUCUCUGGAUCUCUUUUAGGCUACAACACUCACUACUUGCUCAUUUAUGUUCACAUUAGCAUCAACAUGCAAGUGAUAAAGACUGUCAAUUAAAAGAUCAAAUACAACCAAUUUAUUUCAUAAAUAAAUAGAAUAAAAAUUUUUAAUAAAUUAAAAAAUAAAUCCAUCUUAUGC